AUUGAACGCUGGCGGCAGGCUUAACACAUGCAAGUCGAACGGUAACAUGAACUAGCUUGCUAGUUUGAUGACGAGUGGCGGACGGGUGAGUAAUGCUUGGGAAUAUGCCUUGGAGUGGGGGACAACAGUUGGAAACGACUGCUAAUACCGCAUAAUGUGCUUUUUGUAGUGAAAAGUACCAAAGGGGGGGCUCUUCGGACCUCUCGCUUCUUGAUUAGCCCAAGUGAGAUUAGCUAGUUGGUGAGGUAAUGGCUCACCAAGGCGACGAUCUCUAGCUGGUUUGAGAGGAUGAUCAGCCACACUGGGACUGAGACACGGCCCAG
RNAcentral lists this ribosomal RNA (323 nucleotides) under uncultured Colwellia sp. RNAcentral describes it as "bacterial SSU rRNA". It matches the Rfam family "Bacterial small subunit ribosomal RNA", at positions 30 to 334 of the family's 1533-position model. The record is from RNAcentral. Lineage: Bacteria; Pseudomonadati; Pseudomonadota; Gammaproteobacteria; Alteromonadales; Colwelliaceae.